RNAcentral lists this ribosomal RNA (333 nucleotides) under uncultured bacterium. Its description in RNAcentral is "bacterial SSU rRNA". It matches the Rfam family "Bacterial small subunit ribosomal RNA", at positions 30 to 365 of the family's 1533-position model. The record is from RNAcentral.
AUUGAACGCUGGCGGCAUGCCUUACACAUGCAAGUCGAACGGCAGCACGGGAGCAAUCCUGGUGGCGAGUGGCGAACGGGUGAGUAAUAUAUCGGAACGUGCCCAGUCGUGGGGAUAACGUAGCGAAAGUUACGCUAAUACCGCAUACGAUCUAAGGAUGAAAGCGGGGGAUCGCAAGACCUCGCGCGAUUGGAGCGGCCGAUAUCAGAUUAGGUAGUUGGUGAGGUAAAGGCUCACCAAGCCAACGAUCUGUAGCUGGUCUGAGAGGACGACCAGCACACUGGAACUGAGACACGGUCCAGACUCCUACGGGAGGCAGCAGUGGGGAAUUUU